Molecule: transfer RNA, 74 nt
Organism: Alligator mississippiensis (American alligator)
Lineage: Eukaryota; Metazoa; Chordata; Crocodylia; Alligatoridae
Rfam family: tRNA
About the family: Transfer RNA (tRNA) molecules are approximately 80 nucleotides in length. Their secondary structure includes four short double-helical elements and three loops (D, anti-codon, and T loops). Further hydrogen bonds mediate the characteristic L-shaped molecular structure. tRNAs have two regions of fundamental functional importance: the anti-codon, which is responsible for specific mRNA codon recognition, and the 3' end, to which the tRNAs corresponding amino acid is attached (by aminoacyl-tRNA synthetases). tRNAs cope with the degeneracy of the genetic code in two manners: having more than one tRNA (with a specific anti-codon) for a particular amino acid; and 'wobble' base-pairing, i.e. permitting non-standard base-pairing at the 3rd anti-codon position.
Source: Rfam
GGUACCAUGGCUUAAUUGGUUAAAGCACCUGUCUAGUAAACAGGGGAUUCUGGGUUCAAAUCCCAGUGGUUCCU